UGAAAGCCUGAAGAUCUGUCCUCUAC
This 26-nucleotide non-coding RNA is filed under the name Rattus norvegicus (Norway rat). The record is from RNAcentral. Lineage: Eukaryota; Metazoa; Chordata; Mammalia; Rodentia; Muridae.